This 76-nucleotide transfer RNA is filed under the name Sandaracinus sp. Its description in RNAcentral is "tRNA-Glu". It matches the Rfam family "tRNA". Rfam says of the family: Transfer RNA (tRNA) molecules are approximately 80 nucleotides in length. Lineage: Bacteria; Pseudomonadati; Myxococcota; Polyangiales; Sandaracinaceae. The record is from RNAcentral. RNAcentral also lists the same sequence under 2 other names.
GUCCCCAUCGUCUAGUGGCCCAGGACGCCAGCCUUUCACGCUGGUUACGCGGGUUCAAACCCCGCUGGGGACGCCA